AACAGUCAACACAGAGGGACCAAUGUGCAAAGCACAAGACUCAAACCAUAUGAGUCAAGCCACCUACAAAACAAAGGUUAGCUCAUGAUAAACAAUCAAGCUUAAUCAAAAAGAAAUUGAUCUCAUUGGUCAUUUGGUGUUCAACCUGAAAACAUAAACUCAAAAGUGAGUACCAGGACCACUAGGGCAAGCCUAGGGUCAAAAAAGAAUGAAAAAGUCAAAAC
RNAcentral lists this long non-coding RNA (224 nucleotides) under Lathyrus oleraceus (garden pea). RNAcentral's name for it is "Pisum sativum (pea) long non-coding RNA (PSAT_LNC015244)". Lineage: Eukaryota; Viridiplantae; Streptophyta; Magnoliopsida; Fabales; Fabaceae. The record is from RNAcentral.